This is a long non-coding RNA of Peromyscus maniculatus bairdii (prairie deer mouse), 1052 nucleotides long. RefSeq lists it as uncharacterized. Lineage: Eukaryota; Metazoa; Chordata; Mammalia; Rodentia; Cricetidae. The record is from RefSeq and is a predicted model, not a curated record.
GAGAAGCCAGAGAGCCGCCCAAGGAGCAACAUGUAAUAGGACACAGCAACAUUGAUGUGUUUGGCCUUCUGGAGUUGAGCAGAGGACUUUCCAAGCCGUAACAGAUUCCAAGACAGGAGAGAGCCUAUUGGACCCAGAAGCUUAAUCAGCACAUUUCCAAUGCAUUGUUUGAUAGAAUUCUAGAGGAAGAAAGAAGUCAGAAAAAAAUGUUGAAGGAAAUAAUGGUCCAGUACUCUACAGUUUAAUGAAGAAUAGCAAUUUACAGUUUCAAAAAUUCACUAAAGCUAAGAAGUCUAAACAGUGAAUAUUACUUCUGGAUGUAUCAGUCAAAAUGCUGAUAGAGUAAACAUUGGAACUAUCUAACUGUAGGGAAAUGUGGAAGGCAGAUGAGGAAAACUAACGAUAAGAUAAUUGGAGACUUCUCACUGUGGACUGUAGAACUCAGAAGACUUUGGAUCAUAACGAAGUGAUGAAGGAAAAUGAAAAAAAAGCUUGCAGACAAGAAUUGGCCAAGCUAUUCUUCAAAGACAAAGACAAAGUGGAAACAAAUGCAAAUAAACCAAAUUAAGAUCGUUUGUCUGAAGAUCUGCACUGUAAGAAACGUUAACAUGAAUUUCUCUUAGUUUGAGAUGAAGUUACACUGGACCCAGCCUGGACUCACAGGAAGGGAUGGAGAGCGGAGUUCUUGGUUCUCAUCACCCUGUCGCUUCCAUGUCUAGGGCUUUUGAGCUGAAGAGAUUCAACACUAACCACCCUAGGUGGCUCCCUCCAAUGCCCUGUGUCUAAGGAUGUCAAAGCAUGUGAUACACGCCACUGCUUUCUACCCAAGACUGUGCUGCACCUGGACCCUGAAUGAUGACCAUGAUUUUCAAGGAUUGCUGGAGCAGGGACUGGGAUGUGACCAGCCUGUCAUCUUCUUGUUCGGGAGAGACUAUUUCAAUUUUUUUUUUUCAUCCUAGCAUAUUAGAAGGUUGCAAUCUUAAAAAGUUCUUCAGAGAAAUCACAUUGAUGUCAUUUUCUGCCUUUGGCAUUAAAAAUGAUUUGUUUAUUUU